UUCCCCCUGCCUUGUGCGAUACCUACGGCUUCGAUAACCCAACACCGAUCUUUAGGGAGCCGAUCUCCGGAGCCGGAUUGCAGACCUCCCGGCGGAGGCGGCGCCGUUUGGCGCCGACGCUUCGUUGGACGAAGGGAGCGCGAACGUUCCGGGAGGCGCCCACCUGCCGCAGGCAGGUUAUUCUUAGCCGUUCCCGGCUUGGCGGGGGAGAU
Molecule: non-coding RNA, 212 nt
Filed under: Oscillospiraceae bacterium
Lineage: Bacteria; Bacillati; Bacillota; Clostridia; Eubacteriales; Oscillospiraceae
Description: 6S RNA
Rfam family: 6S / SsrS RNA
About the family: E. coli 6S RNA was the first non coding RNA to be sequenced, but its function was unknown until recently. It consists of 184 nucleotides that fold into an extended hairpin structure with a large single-stranded internal bulge. The 6S RNA specifically associates with RNA polymerase holoenzyme containing the sigma70 specificity factor.
Source: RNAcentral